RNAcentral lists this long non-coding RNA (479 nucleotides) under Bos grunniens (domestic yak). RNAcentral's name for it is "lncRNA (ENSBGRG00000007601.1)". The record is from RNAcentral. Lineage: Eukaryota; Metazoa; Chordata; Mammalia; Artiodactyla; Bovidae.
GAGCUGGCUGCAACCAGCCACGACUCACUGGUCAUCAAACCAGGAGCAGCAAAGGCCAGCCACUCUGUCUUGGAAGACAGCUAGCUGGGCUACAGAGGACCUCACUUCCAGGAGGGCACAUGCUAUCUGGCGGAGGAGCAGAGUCAGGGAUGGGAAAUCUGAGAGACCCAAAGAGGCAGAGGUCAACCUAAACAUCAAACAGCUCAGAGACUCUUAAAUAAAAGGAGAAGUCCCCUGCUCUCCCUGCCUGCACCACCCAGCAGACAGGGGCUCGCGAGACAGUAAGGACCAUAGAGAGGCCACCUUUCCCUCGUGUAGCGGGAGCUCCACAAUUUGAGAUUCGGUUCCACUGGCUUCAAGAAAAGUCAAAGUCAGCUACAUGUAUAAAUGGAAAUUUCUGGGUUUUGGGAAAAGUCGACAUCCUUGAUUUCAAGAGCAUAACAGUUCAUUCUUUAAUGAUGUUAUUUUGUGUUGUGGUA